UAACGCGUGAGGAACCUGCCUCAAAGAGGGGGACAACNNUUGGAAACGACUGCUAAUACCGCAUAAGCCCACGACCCGGCAUCGGGUUGAGGGAAAAGGAGCAAUCCGCUUUGAGAUGGCCUCGCGUCCGAUUAGCUAGUUGGUGAGGUAAUGGCCCACCAAGGCAACGAUCGGUAGCCGGACUGAGAGGUUGAACGGCCACAUUGGGACUGAGACACGGCCCAGACUCCUACGGGAGGCAGCAGUGGGGAAUAUUGCACAAUGGGGGAAACCCUGAUGCAGCGACGCCGCGUGGAGGAAGAAGGUCUUCGGAUUGUAAACUCCUGUUGUUGAGGAAGAUAAUGACGGUACUCAACAAGGAAGUGACGGCUAACUACGUGCCAGCAGCCGCGGUAAAACGUAGGUCACAAGCGUUGUCCGGAAUUACUGGGUGUAAAGGGAGCGCAGGCGGGAAGACAAGUUGGAAGUGAAAUCUAUGGGCUCAACCCAUAAACUGCUUUCAAAACUGUUUUUCUUGAGUAGUGCAGAGGUAGGCGGAAUUCCCGGUGUAGCGGUGGAAUGCGUAGAUAUCGGGAGGAACACCAGUGGCGAAGGCGGCCUACUGGGCACCAACUGACGCUGAGGCUCGAAAGUGUGGGUAGCAAACAGGAUUAGAUACCCUGGUAGUCCACACCGUAAACGAUGAUUACUAGGUGU
Molecule: ribosomal RNA, 696 nt
Filed under: uncultured bacterium
Lineage: Bacteria
Description: bacterial SSU rRNA
Rfam family: Bacterial small subunit ribosomal RNA
Source: RNAcentral